CCUUCGAUAGCUCAGUUGGUAGAGCGGAGGACUGUAGAGGCUGAAUGCUGGCAUCCUUAGGUCGCUGGUUCGAAUCCGGCUCGAAGGA
RNAcentral lists this transfer RNA (88 nucleotides) under Oreochromis niloticus (Nile tilapia). It matches the Rfam family "tRNA". From Rfam's summary of the family: Transfer RNA (tRNA) molecules are approximately 80 nucleotides in length. Their secondary structure includes four short double-helical elements and three loops (D, anti-codon, and T loops). The record is from Rfam by way of RNAcentral. RNAcentral also lists the same sequence under 1 other name. Lineage: Eukaryota; Metazoa; Chordata; Actinopteri; Cichliformes; Cichlidae.